CCUACGGGUGGCAGCAGUGGGGAAUAUUGCGCAAUGGGCGAAAGCCUGACGCAGCGACGCCACGUGAGGGAUGAAGGUCUUCGGAUCGUAAACCUCUGUCAGCAGGGAAGAACGGUCACUGUGCUAAUCAGCAGUGAAUUGACGGUACCUGCAAAGGAAGCACCGGCUAACUCCGUGCCAGCAGCCGCGGUAAUACGGAGGGUGCGAGCGGUAAUCGGAAUUACUGGGCGUAAAGCGCUCGUAGGCGGUAUGUCAAGUCAAGGGUGAAAUCCCCGCGCUCAACGUGGGAACUGCCUUUGAAACUGGCAAACUGGAGUGUGUGAGAGGAUAGUGGAAUUCCAGGUGUAGGAGUGAAAGCCGUAGAUAUCUGGAGGAACAUCAGUGGCGAAGGCGACUAUCUGGCACAUAACUGACGCUGAGGAGCGAAAGCGUGGGUAGCAAACAGGAUUAGAUACCCCAGUAGUC
This 465-nucleotide ribosomal RNA is filed under the name uncultured bacterium. RNAcentral's name for it is "partial 16S ribosomal RNA". It matches the Rfam family "Bacterial small subunit ribosomal RNA", at positions 338 to 795 of the family's 1533-position model. The record is from RNAcentral.